Molecule: ribosomal RNA, 475 nt
Filed under: uncultured bacterium
Lineage: Bacteria
Description: bacterial SSU rRNA
Rfam family: Bacterial small subunit ribosomal RNA
Source: RNAcentral
UUGAACGCUGGCGGCAUGCUUUACACAUGCAAGUCGAACGGUAACAGGUUAAGCUGACGAGUGGCGAACGGGUGAGUAAUGCAUCGGAACGUGCCCGAUCGUGGGGGAUAACGCAGCGAAAGCUGUGCUAAUACCGCAUACGAUCUACGGAUGAAAGCGGGGGAUCGCAAGACCUCGCGCGGACGGAGCGGCCGAUGGCAGAUUAGGUAGUUGGUGGGAUAAAAGCUUACCAAGCCGACGAUCUGUAGCUGGUCUGAGAGGACGACCAGCCACACUGGGACUGAGACACGGCCCAGACUCCUACGGGAGGCAGCAGGGGGGAAUUUUGGACAAUGGGCGAAAGCCUGAUCCAGCCAUGCCGCGUGCAGGAUGAAGGCCUUCGGGUUGUAAACUGCUUUUGUACGGAACGAAACGGUUCUCUUUAAUAAAGAGGGCUAAUGACGGUACCGUAAGAAUAAGCACCGGCUAACUACGU